This is a non-coding RNA of Pelobates cultripes (western spadefoot toad), 246 nucleotides long. The record is from the annotation of a GenBank genome assembly. Lineage: Eukaryota; Metazoa; Chordata; Amphibia; Anura; Pelobatidae.
AUUUGUCCUUCAUUGCCAUUUUAGCUAUUUCCUGAACUAGUAGAACUCUUCUAUUUGUCCUUGGGGCCUAUAAAUCACACCUACACGAGUUACUGUGUGACUACCAAAUUCUACCGUAACCCAAAUGGACACUAACUUUUAUUAGGCUAGAUAUUAUGCUAUCCUUCACAUACAGGGCCACACCUCCCCCUUUCUUUCCUUCCCUGUCUUUUCUAUAUAAAGAGUACCCUGGUAUUGCUAUGUCCC